GACGAACGCUGGCGGCGUGCCUAAUACAUGCAAGUAGAACGCUGAAGGAGGAGCUUGCUUCUCUGGAUGAGUUGCGAACGGGUGAGUAACGCGUAGGUAGCCUGCCUGGUAGCGGGGGAUAACUAUUGGAAACGAUAGCUAGUACCGCAUAAUAUUGAUUAUUGCAUGAUAGUCAAUUAAAAGGUGCAAUUGCAUCACUACCAGAUGGACCUGCGUUGUAUUAGCUAGUUGGUGAGGUAACGGCUCACCAAGGCAACGAUACAUAGCCGACCUGAGAGGGUGAUCGGCCACACUGGGACUGAGACACGGCCCAGACUCCUACGGGAGGCAGCAGUAGGGAAUCUUCGGCAAUGGACGGAAGUCUGACCGAGCAACGCCGCGUGAGUGAAGAAGGUUUUCGGAUCGUAAAGCUCUGUUGUAAGAGAAGAACGACGUGUGAGACGUGGAAAUUUC
Molecule: ribosomal RNA, 453 nt
Filed under: Streptococcus sp. oral taxon 058
Lineage: Bacteria; Bacillati; Bacillota; Bacilli; Lactobacillales; Streptococcaceae
Description: bacterial SSU rRNA
Rfam family: Bacterial small subunit ribosomal RNA
Source: RNAcentral